RNAcentral lists this unclassified non-coding RNA (224 nucleotides) under Hevea brasiliensis (rubber tree). The record is from RNAcentral. Lineage: Eukaryota; Viridiplantae; Streptophyta; Magnoliopsida; Malpighiales; Euphorbiaceae.
GGUGAGGUCGGCACCGGUGGUUCCCUCCUGACUGUCGCAUUUCAAAUUCUCGUCGAUUCGAUCCCAACAGCAAAGCUGUCCCUUGGAUCUGUUGCGACGGUGAACAGCCUCAUUGCCUGCACUGUUGAAAGGAUCAAGGCUGCCCUCACCGGCGAGAACGUCCAGUGAGCUUUUCGUGAAUGGUGAGGGGUUAAGCUAUGAGUUUUUGGGCGUGGAAAGUCAAG